GAAGACUCAGCCAGACUCCUACGGGAGCCGGAUCUCGUCUCCGACUCUGACAGAAGGAAGACUCCGUCCGGACUUUGUCCCCGACCUCGACUGCUGGAAGGCUUUGCCCGGACUCCUACGGGAGCCGGCUCCAUCCUCGACCUCGACUGCUGGUAAACUUCGCCCGGACUCCUAAGGGAGCCGGACUUCGCCCCUGACUUUGAUUGUAGGUGGACUUCGCCCGGGCUCCUACGAGAGCC
Molecule: long non-coding RNA, 239 nt
Filed under: Elaeis guineensis (African oil palm)
Lineage: Eukaryota; Viridiplantae; Streptophyta; Magnoliopsida; Arecales; Arecaceae
Description: long non-coding RNA (EGUI_LNC059610)
Source: RNAcentral